Molecule: non-coding RNA, 266 nt
Organism: Terribacillus aidingensis
Lineage: Bacteria; Bacillati; Bacillota; Bacilli; Caryophanales; Bacillaceae
Rfam family: Bacterial large signal recognition particle RNA
About the family: The signal recognition particle (SRP) is a universally conserved ribonucleoprotein involved in the co-translational targeting of proteins to membranes. Archaeal SRP consists of a 7S RNA and homologues of the eukaryotic SRP19 and SRP54 proteins. In most bacteria, the SRP consists of a 4.5S RNA and the Ffh protein (a homologue of the eukaryotic SRP54 protein).
Source: Rfam
CCGUGCUAAGCGGGGAGGUAGCGGUGCCCUGUACUCGCAAUCCGCUAUAGCGAGGCCGAAUUCCCAUCCGAGGUAAUACGGCUUUAAGGCCUGCCAUAAGGAAUUGGUGUUGACACCCGGGUCCUGCGCAACAGGAAACUGUGAACCCUGUCAGGUCCGGAAGGAAGCAGCAGUAAGCAGUCUCUCCUGUGUGCCGCGGGGAAGCCUGGGUCGAGCCAUGAACUUAUGUAACGCUUAGAUCUGUAUUAUCGACGGUGGGUGCACGG